RNAcentral lists this small RNA (27 nucleotides) under Bombyx mori (domestic silkworm). Its description in RNAcentral is "ovarian small RNA-27754". Lineage: Eukaryota; Metazoa; Arthropoda; Insecta; Lepidoptera; Bombycidae. The record is from RNAcentral.
UCCUAUUUAAGUGUCCGAGACGUUGGU